UAUAAUAACAGCAACAGAAGAACUGGGAC
This 29-nucleotide non-coding RNA is filed under the name Mus musculus (house mouse). Lineage: Eukaryota; Metazoa; Chordata; Mammalia; Rodentia; Muridae. The record is from RNAcentral.